GGGCCCGCACAAGCAGUGGAGUAUGUGGUUUAAUUCGAAGAUACGCGAAAACCUUACCAGAACUUGACAUCCCGAGAAGUCCUCCGAAGGGAGGAUGUGUCGCUUGCGAAACUCGGUGACAGGUGGUGCAUGGUUGUCGUCAGCUCGUGUCGUGAGAUGUUGGGUUAAGUCCCGCAACGAGCGCAACCCUUAUUGCUAGUUGCCAGCAUUCAGUUGGGCACUCUAGCGAGACUGCCGUUGACAAAACGGAGGAAGGUGGGGAUGAUGUCAAAUCAUCAUGCCCCUUAUGUUCUGGGCUACACACGUACUACAAUGGGGAAUACAACGGGAAGCCAAGCAGUGAUGCGGAGCAAAUCCCUUAAAAUUCUCCUCAGUUCGGAUAGAAGUUUUGAAACUCAGCUUCUUGAAGCUGGAAUUGCUAGUAAUCGCGAAUCAGCAUGUCG
RNAcentral lists this ribosomal RNA (443 nucleotides) under uncultured Bacillota bacterium. RNAcentral describes it as "bacterial SSU rRNA". It matches the Rfam family "Bacterial small subunit ribosomal RNA", at positions 917 to 1359 of the family's 1533-position model. The record is from RNAcentral. Lineage: Bacteria; Bacillati; Bacillota.